UACGUAGGGUGCGAGCGUUAAUCGGAAUUACUGGGCGUAAAGUGUGCGCAGGCGGCUUCGCAAGUCGAGUGUGAAAUCCCCGAGCUUAACUUGGGAAUUGCGCUCGAAACUACGGAGCUGGAGUGUGGCAGAGGAAGGUGGAAUUCCACGUGUAGCGGUGAAAUGUGUAGAGAUGUGGAGGAACACCGAUGGCGAAGGCAGCCUUCUGGGCCAACACUGACGCUCAUGCACGAAAGCGUGGGGAGCAAACAGG
This 253-nucleotide ribosomal RNA is filed under the name uncultured bacterium. Its description in RNAcentral is "partial 16S ribosomal RNA". It matches the Rfam family "Bacterial small subunit ribosomal RNA", at positions 524 to 776 of the family's 1533-position model. The record is from RNAcentral.